AUUGAACGCUAGCGGGAUGCCUUACACAUGCAAGUCGAACGGAGUGGCGAACGGGUGAGUAAUGUAACGGAACGUGCCCCGUAGCGGGGGAUAACUACGCGAAAGCGUAGCUAAUACCGCAUACUAUUGGAGCCGCCGAUGUCGGAUUUGCAAGUUGGUGGGGUAAAGGCGACCCAAGGCGACGAUCCGUAUCUGGUUUGAGAGGACGACCAGCCAAAAUGGAACUGAGACACGGCCCAGAAUCCUACGGGAGGCAGCAGUGGGGAAUUUUGGACAAUGGGGGAAACCCUGAUCCAGCCAUCCCGCGUGUACGAUGAAGGCCUUCGGGUUGUAAAGCACUUUUGGCAGGAAAGCGGUACCUGCAGAAUAAGCACCGGCUAACUACGUGCCAGCAGCCGCGGUAAUUC
This 407-nucleotide ribosomal RNA is filed under the name uncultured bacterium. Its description in RNAcentral is "partial 16S ribosomal RNA". It matches the Rfam family "Bacterial small subunit ribosomal RNA", at positions 30 to 526 of the family's 1533-position model. The record is from RNAcentral.